CCUACGGGAGGCAGCAGUGAGGAAUAUUGGUCAAUGGGCGCGAGCCUGAACCAGCCAAGUCGCGUGAGGGAUGACGGCCCUACGGGUUGUAAACCUCUUUUGCCGGGGAGCAACGGGCGCCACGUGUGGCGCCACUGAGAGUACCCGGAGAAAAAGCAUCGGCUAACUCCGUGCCAGCAGCCGCGGUAAUACGGGGGAUGCGAGCGUUAUCCGGAUUUAUUGGGGUUACAGGGUGCUUAGGCGGAUCGUUAAGUCAGUGGUCAAAUUGAGGGGCUCAACCCCUUCCCGCCAUUGAAACUGGCGCUCUUGAGUGGAAGAGAAGUAUGCGGAAUGCGUGGUGUAGCGGUGAAAUGCAUAGAUAUCACGCAGAACUCCGAUUGCGAAGGCAGAAUACCGGCGCUCAACUGACGCUCAUGCACGAAAGUGUGGGUAGCGAACAGGAUUAGAUACCCUUGUAGUC
RNAcentral lists this ribosomal RNA (460 nucleotides) under uncultured bacterium. Its description in RNAcentral is "partial 16S ribosomal RNA". It matches the Rfam family "Bacterial small subunit ribosomal RNA", at positions 338 to 795 of the family's 1533-position model. The record is from RNAcentral.